Non-coding RNA from Candidatus Hodgkinia cicadicola Dsem, 72 nucleotides. NCBI's taxonomy places the organism in Bacteria, Pseudomonadati, Pseudomonadota, Alphaproteobacteria, Hyphomicrobiales. The record is from Rfam.
UAUGGGGUGGAGUAGAGGCAUCUCAUUAGGCUCAUGACCUAAAGGUCGCAGGUUCGACUCCUGCCCCCGUUG